RNAcentral lists this ribosomal RNA (1435 nucleotides) under uncultured bacterium. Its description in RNAcentral is "bacterial SSU rRNA". It matches the Rfam family "Bacterial small subunit ribosomal RNA". The record is from RNAcentral.
AGAGUUUGAUCCUGGCUCAGGAUGAACGCCGGCGGUGUGCCUAAUACAUGCAAGUCGUACGCGUUGGCCCAACUGAUUUGAAGUGCUUGCACGGAUCUGACGUUGGUUUACCAACGAGUGGCGGACGGGUGAGUAACACGUAGGUAACCUGCCCAGAAGCGGGGGACAACACUUGGAAACAGGUGCUAAUACCGCAUAACAAUUCAAAUCGCAUGAUUUGAAUUUGAAAGAUGGUUUCGGCUAUCACUUCUGGAUGGACCUGCGGCGCAUUAGCUUGUUGGUGGGGUAACGGCCUACCAAGGCAGUGAUGCGUAGCCGAGUUGAGAGACUGAUCGGCCACAAUGGGACUGAGACACGGCCCAUACUCCUACGGGAGGCAGCAGUAGGGAAUCUUCCACAAUGGGCGCAAGCCUGAUGGAGCAACACCGCGUGAGUGAAGAAGGUUUUCGGAUCGUAAAGCUCUGUUGUUGAAGAAGAACGUGCAUGAGAGUAACUGUUCAUGCAGUGACGGUAUUCAACCAGAAAGUCACGGCUAACUACGUGCCAGCAGCCGCGGUAAUACGUAGGUGGCAAGCGUUAUCCGGAUUUAUUGGGCGUAAAGCGAGCGCAGGCGGUUUCUUAAGUCUGAUGUGAAAGCCUUCGGCUUAACCGAAGAAGUGCAUCGGAAACUGGGGAACUUGAGUGCAGAAGAGGACAGUGGAACUCCAUGUGUAGCGGUGAAAUGCGUAGAUAUAUGGAAGAACACCAGUGGCGAAGGCGGCUGUCUGGCCUGUAACUGACGCUGAGGCUCGAAAGCAUGUGUAGCGAACAGGAUUAGAUACCCUGGUAGUCCAUGCCGUAAACGAUGAAUGCUAGGGUGUUGGAGGGUUUCCGCCCUUCAGUGCCGCAGCUAACGCAUUAAGCAUUCCGCCUGGGGAGUACGACCGCAAGGUUGAAACUCAAAGGAAUUGACGGGGGCCCGCACAAGCGGUGGAGCAUGUGGUUUAAUUCGAAGCAACGCGAAGAACCUUACCAGGUCUUGACAUCCUAUGCCAAUCUGAGAGAUCAGACGUUCCCUUCGGGGACAUAGUGACAGGUGGUGCAUGGUUGUCGUCAGCUCGUGUCGUGAGAUGUUGGGUUAAGUCCCGCAACGAGCGCAACCCUUAUGACUAGUUGCCAGCAUUCAGUUGGGCACUCUAGUAAGACUGCCGGUGACAAACCGGAGGAAGGUGGGGACGACGUCAAAUCAUCAUGCCCCUUAUGACCUGGGCUACACACGUGCUACAAUGGAUGGUACAACGAGUUGCGAACCCGCGAGGGCAAGCUAAUCUCUUAAAGCCAUUCUCAGUCCGGACUGUAGGCUGCAACUCGCCUACACGAAGUCGGAAUCGCUAGUAAUCGCGGAUCAGCAUGCCGCGGUGAAUACGUUCCCGGGCCUUGCACACACCGCCCGUCA